RNAcentral lists this ribosomal RNA (404 nucleotides) under Fusobacteriota bacterium. RNAcentral describes it as "Fusobacteria bacterium partial 16S ribosomal RNA". It matches the Rfam family "Bacterial small subunit ribosomal RNA", at positions 355 to 776 of the family's 1533-position model. The record is from RNAcentral. Lineage: Bacteria; Fusobacteriati; Fusobacteriota.
UGGGGAAUAUUGCACAAUGGAGGGAACUCUGAUGCAGCGACGCCGCGUGAGUGAUGAAGGACUUCGUUUCGUAAAACUCUGUUCUAUGGGAAGAAAAGGACUGUACCAUAGGAGAAAGCUCCGGCUAAAUACGUGCCAGCAGCCGCGGUAAUACGUAUGGAGCGAGCGUUGUCCGGAAUUAUUGGGCGUAAAGGGUGCGCAGGCGGCUUUACAAGUUGGAUGUGAAAUAUUGUGGCUCAACCACAAACGUGCAUCCAAAACUGCAAAGCUUGAGUUAAGCAGAGAUAAGUGGAAUUCCUGGUGUAGCGGUGGAAUGCGUAGAUAUCAGGAGGAAUACCUGUGACGAAGGCUCCUUACUGGACUUAAACUGACGCUAAGGCACGCAAGCGUGGGUCGCAAACAGG